AGAGGUGUAGCUCAGUGGUAGAGCACUUGCCUAGCAUGCAUGAGGCCUUGGAUUCAGAGCCAGCACCACAC
RNAcentral lists this transfer RNA (71 nucleotides) under Heterocephalus glaber (naked mole-rat). It matches the Rfam family "tRNA". From Rfam's summary of the family: Transfer RNA (tRNA) molecules are approximately 80 nucleotides in length. Their secondary structure includes four short double-helical elements and three loops (D, anti-codon, and T loops). Further hydrogen bonds mediate the characteristic L-shaped molecular structure. tRNAs have two regions of fundamental functional importance: the anti-codon, which is responsible for specific mRNA codon recognition, and the 3' end, to which the tRNAs corresponding amino acid is attached (by aminoacyl-tRNA synthetases). tRNAs cope with the degeneracy of the genetic code in two manners: having more than one tRNA (with a specific anti-codon) for a particular amino acid; and 'wobble' base-pairing, i.e. permitting non-standard base-pairing at the 3rd anti-codon position. The record is from Rfam by way of RNAcentral. Lineage: Eukaryota; Metazoa; Chordata; Mammalia; Rodentia; Bathyergidae.